UUGAGGGGGGCUGCUCCUAGUACGAGAGGACCGGAGUGGACGCAUCACUGGUGUUCGGGUUGUCAUGCCAAUGGCAUUGCCCGGUAGCUAAAUGCGGAAGAGAUAAGUGCUGAAAGCAUCUAAGCACGAAACUUGCCCCGAGAUGAGUUCUCCCUGACCCUUUAAGGGUCCUGAAGGAACGUUGAAGACGACGACGUUGAUAGGUCGGGUGUGUAAGCGUAGCGAUACGUUGAGCUAACCGAUACUAAUGAACCGUGAGGCUUAACCUU
Molecule: ribosomal RNA, 269 nt
Filed under: Citrobacter braakii
Lineage: Bacteria; Pseudomonadati; Pseudomonadota; Gammaproteobacteria; Enterobacterales; Enterobacteriaceae
Description: partial 23S ribosomal RNA
Rfam family: Bacterial large subunit ribosomal RNA
Source: RNAcentral